This 487-nucleotide ribosomal RNA is filed under the name uncultured bacterium. Its description in RNAcentral is "bacterial SSU rRNA". It matches the Rfam family "Bacterial small subunit ribosomal RNA", at positions 28 to 524 of the family's 1533-position model. The record is from RNAcentral.
GAUGAACGCUGGCGGCGUGCCUAAUACAUGCAAGUCGAACGAGGUGCUUUUGUAGCAAUACGAGAGUAUCCUAGUGGCGAACGGGUGAGUAACGCGUUGGUGACCUACCCCAAAGUGUGGGAUAACAGUCCGAAAGGAUUGCUAAUACCGCAUGUGGUCUUCGGAUUUAGAAACUGAUGACUAAAGGAGCAAUUCGCUUUGGGAGGGACCUGCGUCCCAUCAGCUAGUUGGUGAGGUAAUGGCUCACCAAGGCUACGACGGGUAGGGGACCUGAGAGGGUGACCCCCCCACAAUGGAACUGAAACACGGUCCAUACACCUACGGGUGGCAGCAGUAGGGAAUAUUGCACAAUGGGCGAAAGCCUGAUGCAGCAACGCCGCGUGUGCGAUGAAGGCCUUCGGGUCGUAAAGCACUUUUCUGGGAGAUGAGCAAGGACAGUAUCUCAGGAAUAAGUCUCGGCUAACUACGUGCCAGCAGCCGCGGUAAU